AAGAACUCUCUUUAAGGAACUCUGCAAAAUAGCACCGUAUCUUCGGUAUAAGGUGUGGUUAGCUUUGUAUUAGGAUUUACUCCGAAAGCAAGGAAACUUACAACAAAGAGUCCCUCCCGACUGUUUACCAAAAACACAGCACUCUGCUAACUCGUAAGAGGAUGUAUAGGGUGUGACGCCUGCCCGGUGCUCGAAGGUUAAUUGAUGGGGUUAGCAUUAGCGAAGCUCUUGAUCGAAGCCCGAGUAAACGGCGGCCGUAACUAUAACGGUCCUAAGGUAGCGAAAUUCCUUGUCGGUUAAAUACCGACCUGCAUGAAUGGCGUAACGAGAUGGGAGCUGUCUCAAAGAGGGAUCCAGUGAAAUUGUAGUGGAGGUGAAAAUUCCUCCUACCCGCGGCAAGACGGAAAGACCCCGUGGACCUUUACUACAGCUUGACACUGCUACUUGGAUAAGAAUGUGCAGGAUAGGUGGGAGGCUUUGAGUAUAUGACGCCAGUUGUAUAUGAGCCAUUGUUGAGAUACCACUCUUUCUUAUUUGGGUAGCUAACCAGCUUGAGUUAUCCUCAAGUGGGACAAUGUCUGGUGGGUAGUUUGACUGGGGCGGUCGCCUCCCAAAUAAUAACGGAGGCUUACAAAGGUUGGCUCAGAACGGUUGGAAAUCGUUCGUAGAGUAUAAAGGUAUAAGCCAGCUUAACUGCAAGACAUACAAGUCAAGCAGAGACGAAAGUCGGUCUUAGUGAUCCGGUGGUUCUGUGUGGAAGGGCCAUCGCUCAAAGGAUAAAAGGUACCCCGGGGAUAACAGGCUGAUCUCCCCCAAGAGCUCACAUCGACGGGGAGGUUUGGCACCUCGAUGUCGGCUCAUCGCAUCCUGGGGCUGGAGCAGGUCCCAAGGGUAUGGCUGUUCGCCAUUUAAAGCGGUACGCGAGCUGGGUUCAGAACGUCGUGAGACAGUUCGGUCCCUAUCUGCCGUGGGCGUAAGAAGAUUGAAGAGAUUUGACCCUAGUACGAGAGGACCGGGUUGAACAAACCACUGGUGUAGCUGUUGUUCUGCCAAGAGCAUCGCAGCGUAGCUAAGUUUGGAAAGGAUAAACGCUGAAAGCAUCUAAGCGUGAAGCCAACUCUAAGAUGAAUCUUCUCUAAGCUCUCUAGAAGACUACUAGUUUGAUAGGCUGGGUGUGUAAUGGAUGAAAGUCCUUUAGCUGACCAGUACUAAUAGAGCGUUUGGCUUAUCUUU
This 1233-nucleotide ribosomal RNA is filed under the name Campylobacter jejuni. RNAcentral describes it as "partial 23S ribosomal RNA". It matches the Rfam family "Bacterial large subunit ribosomal RNA", at positions 1694 to 2925 of the family's 2925-position model. Lineage: Bacteria; Pseudomonadati; Campylobacterota; Epsilonproteobacteria; Campylobacterales; Campylobacteraceae. The record is from RNAcentral.